CCUACGGGAGGCAGCAGUGGGGAAUAUUGCGCAAUGGGGGGAACCCUGACGCAGCAACGCCGCGUGCGGGAUGAAGUCCUUCGUUAUGUAAACCGCUUUCAGCAGGGAAGAGACAGACGGUACCUGCAGAAGAAGCCCCGGCUAACUACGUGCCAGCAGCCGCGGUAAUACGUAGGGGGCGAGCGUUAUCCGGAUUCAUGGGGUGUAAAGCGCGCGAAGGCGGACUGUAAAGCGGGACCUCAAAUCCUGGGGCGCAACCCCCGGCCGGGUCCCGAACUGGCGGUCUGGAGUGCGGUAGGGGAGGUCGGAAGUCCCGGUGUAGCGGUGGAAUGCGCAGAUAUCGGGAAGAACACCGAUGGCGAAGGCAGACCUCUGGGCCGACACUGACGCUGAGGCGCGAAAGCUAGGGGAGCGAACAGGAUUAGAUACCCGAGUAGUC
RNAcentral lists this ribosomal RNA (439 nucleotides) under uncultured bacterium. Its description in RNAcentral is "partial 16S ribosomal RNA". It matches the Rfam family "Bacterial small subunit ribosomal RNA", at positions 338 to 795 of the family's 1533-position model. The record is from RNAcentral.